This 1467-nucleotide ribosomal RNA is filed under the name metagenome. RNAcentral describes it as "bacterial SSU rRNA". It matches the Rfam family "Bacterial small subunit ribosomal RNA". The record is from RNAcentral.
AGAGUUUGAUCCUGGCUCAGGAUGAACGCUGGCGGCGCGCCUAACACAUGCAAGUCGAACGGACGAUGAAAAGCUUGCUUUUCAAAGUUAGUGGCGGACGGGUGAGUAACGCGUGGGUAACCUGCCUCAUGCAGGGGAAUAGCAGCUGGAAACGGCUGAUAAAACCGCAUAAGCGCACAGUGCCGCAUGGCACAGUGUGAAAAACUCCGGUGGUAUGAGAUGGACCCGCGUCUGAUUAGCUGGUUGGCGGGGUAACGGCCCACCAAGGCGACGAUCAGUAGCCGGCCUGAGAGGGUGAUCGGCCACAUUGGGACUGAGACACGGCCCAAACUCCUACGGGAGGCAGCAGUGGGGAAUAUUGCACAAUGGGGGGAACCCUGAUGCAGCGACGCCGCGUGAAGGAAGAAGUAUCUCGGUAUGUAAACUUCUAUCAGCAGGGAAGAUAAUGACGGUACCUGACUAAGAAGCCCCGGCUAACUACGUGCCAGCAGCCGCGGUAAUACGUAGGGGGCAAGCGUUAUCCGGAUUUACUGGGUGUAAAGGGAGCGUAGGCGGCGGAGCAAGUCAGAAGUGAAAGCCCGGGGCUCAACCCCGGGACGGCUUUUGAAACUGCCCUGCUUGAUUUCAGGAGAGGUAAGCGGAAUUCCUAGUGUAGCGGUGAAAUGCGUAGAUAUUAGGAGGAACACCAGUGGCGAAGGCGGCUUACUGGACUGACAAUGACGCUGAGGCUCGAAAGCGUGGGGAGCAAACAGGAUUAGAUACCCUGGUAGUCCACGCUGUAAACGAUGAUUACUAGGUGUGGGGGGAUUGACCCCUUCCGUGCCGCAGUUAACACAAUAAGUAAUCCACCUGGGGAGUACGACCGCAAGGUUGAAACUCAAAGGAAUUGACGGGGGCCCGCACAAGCAGUGGAGUAUGUGGUUUAAUUCGAAGCAACGCGAAGAACCUUACCAGGUCUUGACAUCGAGUGACGUAUCCAGAGAUGGAUAUUUCCUUCGGGACACAAAGACAGGUGGUGCAUGGUUGUCGUCAGCUCGUGUCGUGAGAUGUUGGGUUAAGUCCCGCAACGAGCGCAACCCUUAUCAUUAGUUGCUACGCAAGAGCACUCUAAUGAGACUGCCGUUGACAAAACGGAGGAAGGUGGGGAUGACGUCAAAUCAUCAUGCCCCUUAUGACCUGGGCUACACACGUACUACAAUGGCGAUCGAACAGAGGGAAGCAAGACAGCGAUGUGGAGCCAAUCCCAAAAAAUCGCCCCAGUUCAGAUUGCAGGCUGCAACUCGCCUGCAUGAAGUCGGAAUUGCUAGUAAUCGCAGAUCAGCAUGCUGCGGUGAAUACGUUCCCGGGCCUUGUACACACCGCCCGUCACACCAUGGGAGUCGGUAACACCCAAAGCCGGUCGUCUAACCUUCGGGAGGACGCCGUCUAAGGUGGGAUUGAUGACUGGGGUGAAGUCGUAACAAGGUA